UACGAGGGGGGGCAAGCGUUGUUCGGAAUUAUUGGGCGUAAAGGGCGGGUAGGCGGCCACCGCAAGUCAGUUGUGAAAUCUCUGGGCUUAACCCAGAAAGGUCAACUGAUACUGCGGGGCUAGAGUGCAGAAGGGGCAACUGGAAUUCUCGGUGUAGCGGUGAAAUGCGUAGAUAUCGAGAGGAACACCUGCGGCGAAGGCGGGUUGCUGGGCUGACACUGACGCUGAACUGCGAAAGCUAGGGGAGCGAACGGG
RNAcentral lists this ribosomal RNA (255 nucleotides) under uncultured bacterium. RNAcentral's name for it is "partial 16S ribosomal RNA". It matches the Rfam family "Bacterial small subunit ribosomal RNA", at positions 524 to 776 of the family's 1533-position model. The record is from RNAcentral.